GGGGGUGCAGUUCUGCUCUGUCUCAUGGGGUCACUAUGAGUUGAAAUCCUCUCUAUGGCAAUGGGUUUGGUUAUACCUCUGGAGGAAAUCCUGUUUGUAAAUAGGGUUUUCUUUGUUGUGUUAACUAGAUCAUACCCAAGUAGGGUGGGUUCUAAAUCUAAUUAUGACUGAGUUAUAAAAAGGCCAGUACAGACAGACACACAGAGGGGAAGACAGACAACAGGUAAGAAUGGUCUACAAGCAAAGGAAUGCCACGUAUCCCCGGCAGACACCAGAAACUAGGAGAGAUGCUCACAGAUGCUCACAGAAGGAAUCAACAUGGCCAAUACCCUGAUUUGGACAUUUAGCCUCCAGAGCUGUGAGAAAAUUAAUUUCUCUUCUUUAAAGCCAAAAAAAAAAAAGAAAGGAAAUAUUACCUUAGUUAAAACGUUUCAACUGGCGUAGAGAAAGUUUUGCGGUUAAUUGCCACCCUUGUAAAUACCUCCCUGCCACUAGUUUGAUGUGAAACUGUUAUUUGCACUCAUUCUGCUUGUUAAAUAUGUUUGUUUUGCUUGUAAGGCAGAGCAUACUGUUACAGCCAAACUGAACACAGGCUUUCCCACAGAUUUUUCAUUCCUUCAAUAGAAUUUUUGUUAAAAUAUCAAAUUAGAGAGUUGGCCCAGUGACUGACAACACUAGGACAGACUAAAGGCCAUUCUUUACAUUAGAAUUCCUCCUGCUUUCCCUGAUGACAUACUUGGAAGAGGUGCCUUCACUUUUCAAACACUGUCAUGGAUCUGAUCUGCCAGCCUAGAAAAUGUGAACAAUAAUGAGUUGAGCUCAAUGUAUUUGUUCCAGGUGCAGUUAUCUUUCCUAAUAUCUUCCAGAACUCACCAUUGAGAAUUUUCGUCCUCAUUCUUCUUCCAAUAAUUUUCCCACAUAGGUUCUCAAUGUAUCCCUUUUCAUAUUUCCUUUAGUUGGGUCAGCAUGCAUCUGUCCCAUUUGGGAAGAACUAAUUUAACUUCAGAAAGUGGUUCUAAUUUAUUACGCCAUGGCAAAUUGAGUUUCCUCUGCUCAUUGCUAUGCUGUGUAUUAAGUGUGCCUCCCAGGAGGGGCAUGUCCCCACCUCCAAAUGCUUGAAGUGCUACCCAUUCCCAGUGUGUUACCGGGUUCCCAAGAGAGAGACUCAAAUGGGCCCGUGGAGCUUUUGGUGCGUAAAAGCCUUACUAAGCAGCUACUACUAAUCAGCAUUUAGGAGGCAUUGUGGGAUGGUAGAAUAAACCAGAGUUUAGGAGUCAAACAGACUUGGGUUCAAAUCCUACCUCCUUGCCUUUAAUAUGGGGAUAAGAAACCUGGAACAUUGAGCUGUUAUUUAGAUUAAAUUAAAUAAUACAUGGGAAGUGCAAAUCUUUUAUUAUUAUAAUUUCCAAGCUUUAUACCAUGAGAGAAGGAAAGGAAAAAUGCUGAAAGGACAUGUUGAUUCAAAGGUUGCCUGCUCCACAGUAUUUUUUGUGGAUUAUGUCAUGUCCUUGGGAAGAAUUGUGUUCAAUGUUUCAAGCCCAUUCUUGGGUAGAGAGAAAUAACCUAAAACUCCUGGGAAUUUGAGCUAGAAAUUUUAAGAAGAUCAUCAUUAUAGAUUUUUUGGUCAUAAUCAUGAAAUGAGAAUUUAGUUUGGUAAUGAAAAAUUCAAGUUAGUGCUAGUUGCAUAGAGAAUUAUGUAUGUGUAUGUAUAUAUAUGUAUAUAUAUGGAAACCCUGGUGGCGUAGUGUUAAAUGCUACGGCUGCUAACCAAAGGGUUGGCAGUUCGAAUCCGCCAGGCGCUCCUUGGAAACUCUAUGGGGCAGUUCUACUCUGUCCUAUAGGGUCACUAUGAGUCAGAAUCGACUGGACGGCACUGGGUUUGGUUUUUUUGUUUGUUUAUGUGUGUGUGUGUAUAUAUAUAUAUAUAUAUUUAUACCCCAAAACCAAACCCACUGCUGUGGAGUCGAUUCUGACUCAUAGCUACUCUACAGGUCAAAGUAGAACUGCCCCAUAGGGUUUCCAAGGCUGUAAUCUUUACAGAAGCAGACUGCAGAUUGCCAUAUCUUUCAUCUUCUGGUUAGUGAUAUAUAUAUAUAUACAUGUGUAUGUGUAUUUAUACACACACACACACACACACACACACACAGGGGCCCUAGUGGUGCAAUGGCAAAAGGUUGCCUGUUCGAACCCACCAGCCGAUGUGUGGAAGAAGAAUGUGGCAGUCUGCUUCUGUAGAGAUUACAGCCUUGGAAACCGUAUGCGACAGUUCUACUCUGUCCUAUAGGGUUGCUAUGAGUUGAAAUCAACUCAACGGCAAUGGGUUUGCUUUUUGGUUUAUAUAUAUGUGUAUAUAUAUGUGUGUAUAUAUGUAUAUAUAUACACAUAUAUAUAUACAUAUAUAUAUAUAUAUUCCACACAUUUUCAUGGUAACUUUUAUUAAGAAUUUUGUUAAUUUUAUAUGCUUCCAAAUAUCAUUGUAAAAGCUGAAAAGACAAUUCUCUCUAGCUCAUGGUUGUGCAGGUGGCAGAGCACAAAUAUAUGGGCCAUCAUACUCAUGAGCAUAAAUUUGCGUUUUUGUAAUGACAGUUUUCUGGAAGAUCACAAGAAAGCCUUAGAGAAGGACAGCUUGUCUGAUCAAGUGCCAGGGCAUCACUGAAACUGUCCUUUUUCAGUAGAGGGCUGAGGUGCAGACCUCAGGCACCUAAUACAACUGGUAGUUAGAUAGAUCAUUACUGCUGGGUCUCUGGGGUCUAUGAUACUGAAAAGAGUCACGAGUAGGAUAAAUAUUGGUACUUUCAAAGGCUUUCAAGGGGAGAAAUAAUAGGAAAAAGAUGACAAAGUUCUUUGCCUUAAAAUAUGAAGAUAAAAUUACUGAAGAUCUCAAAGAUUUAAAAAUUUUGAGCUUGAGCAAAAUCAAGAAAUGUCUGUGCUUUUCCACCUGAGCACAGAAUUUCCACCCUAGGUUAAGAUGUCUCUCUGUGCCAUUAACAACCUGAGCCUUCCGAGGGGCCCACUCCAGAACUGUUUGCUUCCUUUGAUUUAGUCAAGAUGCCUUUUCCGUGUUAGCAAAUGGCAACUCUUAGUUAGCUAAAUCUGGCUCUACCGCCAGGUAUGUGGUCAUGAGCAAGCCACUUCUAUUUUCUAAGCCUCAGUUCCCUCAUCCUUAACGUAGGGCCGAUAAUACCUACCUCAUGGAGUUAUAGUGAAGAGUAGAAGAAAUAUUGCAGCUCAACAUGCUCAGACCAAUGCUUCCCACACAACAAGAAGCGUGUGCUGUUCUUUUUAAUCAUCAUCAUCAUUGUAAAAUUAAUCCCAAAUGCAACAUUUCACGGGAAUGCAGUGAGCACCUCUUAUGAAGUAGCUGAUCAUAUUACUAUUUUGGAGUGACCGAAUACCUAGAAGAGCCUGGCUGGUAAAGUGAUUUGAGGGAAGUGGGCUGGUGGAAAGACAAGACACUGUGUGAGUAGGAAGAUGGAUGGAACUGACGUUGGAGUGCUGAAUAUGUGAGUCAGAAGCUGGCAGCAGAGAGUGGGUUGUCGCUGCAGGCAGAGGGCAUAGCCACCCUAUCUGAGGGUCAGCCACUCAGCUGGGUACAACCCUCUGGGAAUUUGGGCUAGUGUUGCUGAUCUUGCCAUGUUUUUCAAGGAAAUAUGGAAAUCCAAAAUGAAAUUCUCUGAUUUUUAAAUAAUAGCUUUUGUUAAACUAUAAUGAAUUAUAUAUGUACUUCCACCAUAACAUCGAAAAGAAUGUAAAUAGCAUUUUUAGCCUGUAAGAAUUUUAUUUUUAAUAAAUGUUAGAUAGUGUUAUUAUUAUAAUGUUCUUGAUUUUUUAGCUUCAUUUUAAACAUUUUUAAAUCUGAAUACAGAAAAUACUGUAUUCAACCAUAGAUAAGAAAGCUUCACUGUGUUUAAAGAUGAGUUGAUUGUGGCUUUAAGUUUAGAAAAAUGCAAACCAACCCCCAGAUUUUUUACCUUGAUUCCAUUUAUAAAGAUACCACUGUGUGUUCAAAGCAAAUACAUUUACCGCAUAGCCUACUACCAUUUAGAAAACCUCACUCUUCACCCUAUAUACGUUAAUAAAGCCAUUCUUUUGGAAAUAGAAGUUGUGAGUGAAACAUUUCUAAGAAUGAACACAAUAUGUGUAGGGAGCCUGUUCAAUGCUCGGAAGCAGUAGUACUUCCUUAGUUUCUGUUGAUUCCAUUUUAUUCCAGGAUCACUGGGUCAUGCUUUCAAACUCCUAGUUACCGGUUAAGAAAUGUGAUGAUCUUAGAAUCCCUCAGCAGUGGGGAGAGUGACAGUGAUCAGAAAGCGAAUAUACUCUAAAAACCUCUGAGAUUCCAAGAGAAAAAUAUAUAAGCUUAGGGCUAUUUGGUUGAUUAGGAUUUCCCCCAAAUGUCUUAAAUAUAGGACUAUAUAAAAUGGAAAGUUUUAAAUAUUUAACUUACAGACAGUUCCAUUAUGUAAAAAGCUUACUUGGCUUCCAGAUAAUAUAAAACUAAAGGGAAAAGGUGGGGUGGGGAUGGGAAAAUGCUCAGUCAUGAAAAAAUUUAUCCAGCUGAUAAAAAUGUCAUCUUGUUCAAGACAAAAAUAGGAUAUCUUCAGCUCUUUCCAAUUUCCAUUCCAGCUAGAUUAUUUUAUUAUUUUUAAUUUAACCCUCAAGGGUUACUUUGGCCUUUGAAACAGAAUUUUUAAUACCUUUUUUUUAUACAUAUAACUGACAUAGUUUAUUGGCUUUAAAUUAUCACGUAACAGUAGUGAACACACUGAACUCUGUAGACUUUUGCCCCAUUUGGCAUUUUUGAAGUGAAGCUGGAUGGGACACAGCUGAACUCUAUCAAAAUUCAAACACACCCCGGUCUUUGACCUGUCAGGCAGAAGCUGCAGUGAAAGUCGGAAUGCAUUUAGCACUUAUUCACUGAUUAAUUCACCAAACAUACGUUACCCGACCCACCCAAUCUUGCAGGUUUAGCACAACAAACCUUGAUGGCUCACUUAAGACUCAGUGGCCUGUGGAGUGCGGGGCUCUGCUCAGAGCAGUGACUCAGCUGUGCAAGUAUGAGACAUUACAGGAGGUCUGGCGAGUGAGUGGUCAAGGACAGCGAGGAGAAGGCGGGCCGGGUGGUGCUGGGCAGGUGCAGCUGGCCAAGGCAUCAUGUGCAGGGUGUCACCCACACUAGGUAUUUGGGAGCCAUUCUUCAGUGAAACCUACUGCAGAACUAGUGUAGGGGUAAAACAAAUUCCAUUUUGCACAGGUUAAUUUGGGGUUCUCUGUAGGACAAUUGGAGCCCUGGUGGCGCAGUGAUUAAAGUCAUUAACUGCUAACUCAAAGUUCGGCAGUUUGAAACCACCAGUGGCUCUGCAGGAGAAAGAUGUGGCAGUCUGCUUCUGUAAAGAUUAUAGCCUUGGAAACCCACUGGAGUCACUCUGCACCGGAAUCAACUCCAUGGGCAGUGGAUUUUUUUGGUUUGGUGGAAGAAGAAUCAAUACUGUUUUGCAUUUAUGGAAUAAGGAAAGGAUAGUGAAUGUCCUGGUUUGUCAACUAGAUGAGUAAUGUAGUAGUGAAAUUAAGUGACAAAAGAUGAGGAAACAUUUGAUGUUGAACAGAGAAUUUGCUGAGUUACAUGGGCAUCCUGGUGAAGAGGGUAGAAGCUCAGAAAUGUGAUUAGCUUAGACAGGAGAUAGAGGCAAGAGAUAGUGUUUUGAGAGUCAUUAGGGUGAGAACACAUAUUAAUUAAGUUGAAGGGAGUAAAUGAGAUUGCCUAGGGGGUGCUUGUAGCAUGACCAUGGACCGUGUAAGCUAGAACUCUGGAAAACCCCACAAUCAAGGGGAAAACACAAAACAAAACAAGAGGCAGGAGUGCCACAUGUGAUCGUACAGGUCAUACACUGCACAACUUCUGACUGUGCUGGGGUGGGUGCCUCUGGACUUGUGCAAUGCAGUGACCCUGGAGAAGAAGGAAAAAGGUGAGAGAAGAAUACAGCAACCAAAGAAGGGGGAGGAGUGCCAGAACAGUGUUUCAAGAGGGAAGAGGUGGUCAAGUCUGUCAUGAGAAGAUGAGGUAGCAGAGUGUAAGCUUCACCUUCAAAGAGUUGGAGAAGAAGAGGGUCCAAGGAAUUUUUUGUUUUGUUUGUUUGUCAAAAGACAGGAGGGUGUUGAGUGUGUGGUAGGUAAAAGAAAUGAAGCUAGUAUAGGGACAUUAAGAAUAUAAGAAAUGUGGAUAUAUUUUUUUUCAGCCUUGCAGUUCCAAAGAGAAGUGGUAGCUCUGAUGCUAGUGUAAGCCAGUCACUGGAGCUUGGUGUCUGGACAGGACAGGCAGGAUACAGACCUUCAUGUCUGAGCAGGAGCCACUCCAGCAGGGCAGAUAGGAGGCUUCAGAGAGCCAAAGCAUCUGGGAGCCACAGCAGAUGUGCCAACCCAGGCACAGGUGGGUUUCACAUCUAUGACUCUGGUUGCAGAGACAGAAACAUUACAACAAUGUUGAGAACAACAAUAACAAAAAACUCGAUUAAAAAGGAGACUGUGGACGUUGAACACUAGAUAUUUUUGUACAUCCACCCAUAGCUGGAAAUGCAUCUUUCAUAACUAAUUUUUUUUAAUUAAUUUUUAUUAAGCUUCAAGUGAACAUUUACCAUUCCAGUCUGUCACAUGUAGGUUUACAUACAUCUUACUCCCUUUUCCCACUUGCUCUCCCCCUAUUGAGUCAGCCCUUUCAGUCUCUCGUUUCUUGCCAAUUUUGCCAGCUUCCCUCUCUCUCUAUCUUCCCAUCCCCUCUCCAGUCAAGAGUUGCCAACACACUCUCCAGUGUCCACCUGAUUUAAUUAGCUCACUCUUCAUCAGCAUCUCUCUCCCCGCCACUGACCAGUCCUUUUCAUGCCUGAUGAUUUGUCUUCGGGGAUGGUUCCUGUCCUGUGCUAUCAGAAGUUCUGGAGAGCAUUGUCUCUGGGAUUCCUCUAGUCACAGUCAUACCAUUAGGUAUGGUCUUUUCAUGAGAAUUUGGGGUCUGUAUCCCAUUGGUCUCCUGCUCCCUCAGGAGUUGUCUGUUGUGCUCCCUGACAGGGCAGACAUCGAUUGUGGCUGGGCACCAACUAGUUCUUCUGGUCUCAGGAUAAUGUAGGUCUCUGGUUCAUGUGGCCCUUUCUGUCUCUUGGGUUCUUAGUUGUCGUGUGACCUUGGUGUUCUUCCUUUGCCUUUGCUCCAGGUGGGUUGAGACCAAUUGAUGUAUCUUAGAUGGCCGCUUGUUGGGAUUUAGGACCCCAGGCGCCACAAUUCAAAGUGGGAUGCAGAAUGUUUUCAUAAUAGAAUUAUUUUGCCCAUUGACUUAGAAGUCCCCUCAAACCAAGUUCCCCAGACCCCAGCCCCUGCUCCGCUGACCUUUGAAGCUUUCGUUUUAUCCCGGAAACCUCUUUGCUUUUAGUCCAGUCCAAUUAGGCUGACCUUCCUUGUAUUGAGUGUUGUCUUUCCCUUCACCCAAAGCAGUUCCCAUCUACAGAUUGAUCAAUAAAAAGCCCUCUCCCUCCCUCCCUCCCUCCCCCCUUUGUAACCACAAAAGUAUGUGUUCUUCUCCGUUUUUUCUAUUUCUCAAGAUCUUAUAAUAGUGGUCUUAUACAAUAUUUGUCCUUUUGCAACUGACUCAUUUCGCUCAGCAUAAUGCCUUCCAGAUUCCUAUGAAAUGUUUCAGAGAUUCGUCACUGUUCUUUAUCGAUGUGUAGUAUUCCAUUGUGUGAAUAUACCACAAUUUAUUUACCCAUUCAUCCGUUGACGGACAUCUUGGUUGCUUCCAGCUUUUUGCUAUUGUAAACAGAGCUGCAAUAAACAUGGGUGUGCAUAUAUCUGUUUGUGUGAAGGCUCUUGUAUCUCUAGGGUAUAUUCUGAGGAGUGGGAUUUCUGGGUUGUAUGGUAGUUCUAUUUCUAACCGUUUAAGAUAACGCCAGAUGGAUUUCCAAAGUGGUUGUACCAUUUUACAAUCCCACCAGCAGUGUAUGAGAGUUCCAAUCUCUCCGCAGCCUCUCCAACGUUUCUUAUUUUGUGUUUUUUGGAUUAAUGCCAGUCUAGUUGGUGUGAGAUGGAAUCUCAUCGUAGUUUUAAUUUGCAUUUCUCUAAUGGCUAAUGAUCGGGAGCAUUUUCUCAUGUAUCUGUUCGCUGCCUGAAUAUCUUCUUUAGUGAAAUGUGUGUUCAUAUCCUUUGCCCACUUCUUGAUUGGGUUGUUUGUCUUUUUGUGGUUGAGUUUUGACAGAAUCAUGUAGAUUUUAGAGAUCAGGCGCUGGUCGGAGAUGUCAUAGCUGAAAAUUCUUUCCCAGUCUGUAGGUGGUCUUUUUACUCUUUUGGUGAAGUCUUUAGAUGAGCAUAGGUGUUUGAUUUUUAGGAGCUCCCAGUUAUCUGGUUUCUCUUCAUCAUUUUUGGUAAUGUUUUGUAUUCUGUUUAUACCUUGUAUUAGGGCUCCUAGGGUUGAUCCUAUUUUUUCUUCCAUGAUCGUUAUCGUUUUAGUCUUUAUGUUUAGGUCUUUGAUCCACUUGGAGUUAGUUUUUGUGCGUGGUGUGAGGUAUGGGUCCUGUUUCAUUCUUUUGCAAAUGGAUAUCCAGUUAUGCCAGCACCAUUUGUUAAAAAGACUAUCAUUUCCCCAAUUGACUGACACUGGUCCUUUGUCAAAUAUCAGCUGCUCAUACAUGGAUGGAUUUAUAUCUGGGUUCUCAGUUCUGUUCCAUUGGUCUAUGUGCCUGUUGUUGUACCAGUACCAGGCUGUUUUGACUACUGUAGCUGUAUAAUAGGUUCUGAAAUCAGGUAGAGUGAGGCCUCCCACUUUCUUCUUUUUCAGUAAUGCUUUGCUUAUCCGGGGGUUCUUUCUCUUCCAUAUGAAAUUAGUGAUUUGUUUCUCUAUGCCCUUAAAAUAUGCCAUUGGUAUUUGGAUUGGAAGUGCGUUAUAUGUAUAGAUGGCUUUUGGUAGAAUAGACAUUUUUACUAUGUUAAGUCUUCCUAUCCAUGAGCAGGGUAUGUUUUUCCACUUAAGUAUGUCCUUUUGAAUUUCUUGUAGCAGAGUUUUAUAGUUUUCUUUGUAUAGGUCUUUUACAUCCUUGGUAAGAUUUAUUCCUAAGUAUUUUAUCUUCUUGGGGGCUACUGUGAAUGGUAUUGAUUUGGUAAUUUCCUCUUCGGUGUUCUUUUUGUUGAUGUAGAGGAAUCCAAGUGAUUUUUGUAUGUUUAUUUUAUAACCUGAGACUCUUCCAAACUCUUCUAUUAGUUUCGGUAGUUUUCUGGAGGAUUCAUUAGGGUUUUCCGUGUAUAAGAUGUCAUCUGCAAAUAGUGAUAGCUUUACUUCCUCCUUACCAAUCUGGAUACCCUUUAUUUCUUUGUCUAGCCUAAUUGCCCUGGCUAGGACUUCAAGUACGAUGUUGAAUAAGAGCGGUGAUAAAGGGCAUCCUUGUCUGGUUCCCGUUCUCAAGGGAAAUGCUUUCAGGUUCUCUCCAUUUAGAGUGAUCUUGGCUGUUGGCUUUGCAUAGAUGCCCUUUAUUAUGUUGAGGAAUUUUCCUUCAAUUCCUAUUUUGGUAAGAGUUUUUAUCAUAAAUGGGUGUUGAACUUUGUCAAAUGCCUUUUCUGCAUCAAUUGAUAAGAUCAUGUGGUUUUUAUCUUUUGUUUUAUUUAUGUGAUGGAUUACAUUAAUGGUUUUUCUGAUAUUAAACCAGCCUUGCAUACCUGGUAUAAAUCCCACUUGAUCAGGGUGAAUUAUUUUUUUGAUGUGUUGUUGGAUUCUAUUGGCUAGCAUUUUGUUGAGGAUAUAGGUCUAAAAUUUUCUCUUUUUGUAAUGUCUUUACCUGGUUUUGGUAUCAG
This is a long non-coding RNA of Loxodonta africana (African savanna elephant), 9819 nucleotides long. RefSeq lists it as uncharacterized. The record is from RefSeq and is a predicted model, not a curated record. Lineage: Eukaryota; Metazoa; Chordata; Mammalia; Proboscidea; Elephantidae. The transcript has 2 exons.